GAUUGAUUUGACUGGGCACGCGAGUGGUAAACUCUAGGGUAAACUGCAUUUAAAAUGUAUGGGGGAAAUCAGGUAAAAUUAAUUAUUUUGAAUAUAAAUCAAAACUAAGGCUUGAAAAGUAGACGUAGUGACGUAGGUUAUUUUUUUAUCUACUACCAGGAGAAAUUUUACCCCACUCCCUUGCAUGGUGAGGGAGAUUUUUGAAAAAAACUGAUUUUCCUUGUAUAAAUUUAAAUUUUUUACCACUACUCGUACAGUGCCAUCUCUUAGAAAUUUUGCCGCGGCGGAUACCCUAUUAUCUUAACACUGCAACUAUUAAUCAUGCAAAUAACUAUUUUAAUUAAAAACAUAUAAAAAAAUAAAACAAUAAAAACCUUUAGCAGGUAAAUUUCGCGCAACAUUGCCUAAACGCACCUAACAGUGUAUGUUUACAUCCAGUUGGACAUCUGUGCGCGUCGCGAAAACGUCAGCUAGUUUGCGUAUUUCGCUGUUUGCGAAUGAAUUACGGUGCAAUUUUUUUGAUGAUGUUUCGUAUGGAUUCGAAACGAGUGCAUCUGUGUUUGUGGAUAUCUUUCAAGACGGCAUCCGUGAGUCUUCUGAACGAUCAAGAAGAAACAGGAUAAAUUUGAGACCUAAACCCAGAUCCAGCAGACGAACCUGAUUGAUACACGGAUCAAUAAGCUUCUGUUCGGUGCGGCUAAUCCAGCCGGAUUUGGCAAGUUGGCGAUCCAGACCUUUCCAAAAUGGUCAAACCGACUUUCAGAGGGAACCUUUGUUGACGGAGCUGGAAACAGAACCGAUUUCGCGUGGAUUUUUUUUUCAGAGAAAGCGAAGCAUUUCGCAGCAUGUUUUUGUUUGUAUGUUGACAUGUUUUAUUGUGGACAACAUUUGAAAGAUAAACUUCUAGUCUAGGAUAACGUAUAACGUAUUGAAGAAUAUUACCAGCAACCUAAUGGACAAAUCAGAUAAGUUAACAUUAAAUGUAGUAAGCUAGAUACUGUGUAGUUUGUUUUCUUUUUUCAGGUUUAAACCAAGAGCAACAAGAUCACCAGGUGAACUCUCGAUAGCCCGGCGUUGCACGACUGCUUCGUUUUCCUUCAGAAGCGGCUGCUGAAGUUACGUUAAACUUGGAACCCAUCCAUCCGACCGACGAUUUCCACAGGAUGGCGGAGAUGGAGCUGAUAUUCAGUCAACUUUCUACCGCAUUGGAUGCCUCCUUGAUCUGUGAUUUUUUUUUCCUCUGUAUAAUUUAAUCCUAAGAUUUUUGGUGGAAUUUUUUGUGUUUUUGUGAAAUAAAAAAAUAAAUAAGCUAUUUGACCAAAGCAAAAUAAAUGUUUCUAGCUCAAAAUUCCGAAAAUCCUUGAAAAAUUGAUGUUCAUUCGAAUUGUUACAACUAUUUCUCAAAAUGUAAUGCGCCAUGAAAAAUCACUGAAAUAACUAUUUAAAACCAUAAAAAUACCAUUUGAGAAAUGGUGAAAUCCCUAAAAUAUAUACGCAAAAAUGAACUUUCAAAAAGCAUUUGACUAAGUGUCGCUAGAAGAAAAAAUCAAAUAGUGAAUAUUGCUAACAACAUAUAUGGGGAAUAGUUCACUAUUUGAGAGACGGUGAGGAAUUAAAAAAAUGAUUUACCAAAUAGUGGCUAUACAAUUUGUCAAAAUGUUGAUUGAAUAUUUAACAAAUGAUUUCCAAACGGUUUUUUUCU
This is a long non-coding RNA of Culex pipiens pallens (northern house mosquito), 1702 nucleotides long. RefSeq lists it as uncharacterized. The transcript has 3 exons. NCBI's taxonomy places the organism in Eukaryota, Metazoa, Arthropoda, Insecta, Diptera, Culicidae. The record is from RefSeq and is a predicted model, not a curated record.